Molecule: ribosomal RNA, 116 nt
Filed under: Escherichia coli
Lineage: Bacteria; Pseudomonadati; Pseudomonadota; Gammaproteobacteria; Enterobacterales; Enterobacteriaceae
Source: RNAcentral
AGUGGCGGCCUUAGCGCGGUGGUCCCACCUGACCCCAUGCCGAACUCAGAAGUGAAACGCCGUAGCGCCGAUGGUAGUGUGGGGUCUCCCCAUGCGAGAGUAGGGAACUGCCAGGC